UACUUUGUAAACCCUAGCCGCCACCCAUGUUUCUUCAUCUUCAUCUCAACACAGCCCCCAUCUUCAUCUUCAUCUCUCAACCUUUCUCACAGCCCCCCCUCCCCACCCAACGUCUUCAUCUCUCAUCUCUCUCAACCUUUCUUUAAAGCUUUAAGCACAACCCCCCCUCCUCCCCCAAAGUAGAUCUGGUGAACGAACCAUCCAUAUCUCUCAUCUCUCCAUCUUUUUGUUCUUUUCUUUAAGCAUAGCCGACUAAGCUCAUGGAUUAACAACCAAACAGCAGCUCUGGAGCCCCCCUCUCUUCAAUCUUUAUCUCUUAAUUUUUUUGUUCCUUUUUGCUUUUUUUCUGAUUUCUGUAGAUCUAUUAUGUAUUCAUUUCCUAUAUUUAUUUACAAGGUUGUUGAUUUGCCAUAGUAUGCUCAUGUUGCGAUUACUGUAAUGGAUGUUGUGAGAAUUAUUUAUUUACAAUUUCUCUUCGGUUUUAUCUCUUUUUGGUGGGGUAUUCUUCAGUGGUUGGCAAUUUAUACAAGAUGUAAUGCUUAACUGGAAGGCAGUUAGGAUGGAUCCUAUACCCAGGUUUGAAAAAAAUGUCCAUCUACAAGCAAGACUCCCUGUUAAGUGCUUCUAAUGAUAUUCUUGAAACCUACAACUGUGUUGCUAAUCUGUAAUAGUUUUGUAAUUCUCAAGUUGGCAAGGCAUUUUUUCAUCAUAUACGGGUUUCUUCAUUACAUCAAAUUAUGGCAACAAUCUGUGAAUUCAAAGCUGUAAAAGCUCAAUUUAAUGUAAGCUUUAAAAAAAUCCAAAAC
This 806-nucleotide long non-coding RNA is filed under the name Populus trichocarpa (black cottonwood). Its description in RNAcentral is "long non-coding RNA (PTRI_LNC001551)". Lineage: Eukaryota; Viridiplantae; Streptophyta; Magnoliopsida; Malpighiales; Salicaceae. The record is from RNAcentral.